RNAcentral lists this non-coding RNA (235 nucleotides) under Pseudomonas sp. Lineage: Bacteria; Pseudomonadati; Pseudomonadota; Gammaproteobacteria; Pseudomonadales; Pseudomonadaceae. The record is from RNAcentral.
CCUUCGCCGCUUGUUUCAGGUGCUCUGUGGCUUGGGUCGACAGAGUGAAACAGGGAAGCCGGUGAGUGAGCGCUUCAGUCGAUGAAGCCCUGCGAUCCCGGCGCUGCCCCCGCAACGGUAAAUGAGUGAACACUGCGCUUGAAGCCACUGCGUCGAUCCAUCGAUGCGGGAAGGCGCGCAGCGAGGCUUCACGCCGCUCAUGAGCCCGGAGACCGGCCUGAUCCAUCCAAGCGGC